AUGACAAGCGAUCAAGUUGUGCUUGGAGCCCAUUGCCUGCACACGUUGACUUGCGGAGGCACACCUCCUCCCAGAGCUCUUUGGAAUCCUCCGAAUCCGGCCAAAUUUCUGUGGGCUCCACAGGACGCAGCAGAGAAGAGUAUGCUGUAAUGGCUGACCUGCCAAAAGUUAAAAGAGUUCAACAGAAGGAGGGGCCAAGUCAGUCAGAACGGACACAUGUUCAACUUUUCAAACCAGCCAGGUGUGCAUUGUGUGUAACAAAUCUCGAUAUUAUACUACAAAUUAUAAAUUAUUAUGCCUUUUUAGCCAUUCAGUGAGCAGGCAACCAUCAAGAGAUGAUCUCGGGGACACAGAAUGGCCUUACAGUGGCAGUGGCAAUGGCUAUCUAUCAAGAGCCCAUUCCACCACCUCAUUGCAUAGGUCCGGCAGUCCAACCACUGAAGAGGGCACUUGGAAAAGCAAACAGCACAGGUCAGAGCAAAUGCAGGUAUGUGUAGGCAUGUCUGCAUUGCAUGUGGAUUAUUCAGUACAAAAGUUUUAUUAUUAAGCAAUUUUGUGUUUUUUGUUUUGUUUUGUGUUUUCCAUUGGUAUAACUUGAGGACUUAAAAUGAAAUUGAAAGAGAAUAUUUAUUGGUCACAAUUCCUUGUAACCAUGUCAUCAAAUUGGAUACACGCACACGUCUUUAGAGCUUGUUUUGAGCCUACACCCUCGGGGCAUUUCAUGAGGCUUGACUGAGCUUAGUCAAAUGUGUUCUGCUGGGGCAUGUGUUCAAAUUCCUUGAGUGAAACCAACAGCUACCAAAGAGGAAUUUUAGAGGGGAACUAAGCCACUUGACAGCUCUUGAGUUUUCAGUCUGAAAAUAGUGGGAUAAAAAGAUGCUCAAGAGUGGUCAUCAAUAACCCUGGCAUAUAACGCGUGUCCGGGUUGGAUCAAAGUGAGACUCCAUUUCAUUGAUGCGAUUUCCUGUAACCUCAUUAAUAUAGCACAAUUUGUCCAGAGUUUUGGGUGCAUUUUUGGGAGCACUUGUUUGUGUGCGCGUAGACCGGAGGACGCAGCACGGCGUGUCUCUGAGCUGGAUCUGUUUUCAUACACGAUCUUCGCGGAUCCGCCCAGGAGGAAGUUACAGACAGGACAUAGCAGCGAGCAGAAAAGGAUUUUGUAGUGCUCGUAACUUCUUACGACAUUGGAAUAAUGCUUCUUUUCAACAAACGCUAAGUUGUAACAACUUUUGGACUCGAAUGGACGCAUGGUCUCUCCAAGCAGAGAAGCGUCGCUGGCGGCUUUUGACAAACUUAACAUGGAGUUGAAUGGCGGGCUUUUAUCUACUUAGGAUUGAAAUACUGCAAUUUUGGGCCUUUCAAGUUAAAAUCAUUUUCUGCUUUGAGUAACCUCGUUUUUUUGUGUUUUUGACUGC
This 1415-nucleotide long non-coding RNA is filed under the name Neogobius melanostomus (round goby). Its description in RNAcentral is "lncRNA (ENSNMLG00000003079.1)". The record is from RNAcentral. Lineage: Eukaryota; Metazoa; Chordata; Actinopteri; Gobiiformes; Gobiidae.